NNNNAGACAAACCCUGAAUUUCCGUGUCCAACGUUUGACCGUCCGUCUUAUUUAAAAAAAUAUGAAAAAAAUUAAAAAGACAAGUUACGCAUAAAGUAUUAAUCAUGUUUUAUCAUCUAACAACAAUGAAAAUACUAAUUAUAAAAAAAAUUCAUAUAAAACGAAUAGUCAAACGUUGGACACGAAAAUUUAGGAUUUGCGUUUUUU
Molecule: non-coding RNA, 207 nt
Organism: Oryza barthii
Lineage: Eukaryota; Viridiplantae; Streptophyta; Magnoliopsida; Poales; Poaceae
Source: Rfam